GAUGAACGCUGGCGGCGUGCCUAAUACAUGCAAGUCGAGCGAACGGACGAUAAGCUUGCUUUUUUGAUGUUAGCGGCGGACGGGCGAGUAACACGUGGAUAACCUACCUAUAAGUCUGGGAUAACUUCGGGAAACCGGAUCUAAUACUGGCUAAUAUUUUGAACCGCAUGGUUCAAAAGUUCAAGACGGUCUUGCUGUCACUUAUAGAUGGUUCCGCGCUGCAUUAGCUAGUUGGUAAGGUAACGGCCUACCAAGGCUACGAUGCAUAGCCGACCUGAGAGGAUGAUCGGCCACACUGGAACUGAGACACGGUCCAGACUCCUACGGGAGGCAGCAGUAGGGAAUAUUGCGCAAUGGGCGAAAGCCUGACGGAGCAACUCCGCGUGAGUGAUGAAGGUCUUCGGAUCGUAAAACUCUGUUAUUAGGGAAGAAAAGAUGUGGAAGUAAAUGUGGACAUCUUGACGGUACCUAAUCAGAAAGCAACGGCUAACUACGUG
Molecule: ribosomal RNA, 497 nt
Filed under: uncultured bacterium
Lineage: Bacteria
Description: partial 16S ribosomal RNA
Rfam family: Bacterial small subunit ribosomal RNA
Source: RNAcentral